This 71-nucleotide transfer RNA is filed under the name Scleropages formosus (Asian bonytongue). It matches the Rfam family "tRNA". Rfam says of the family: Transfer RNA (tRNA) molecules are approximately 80 nucleotides in length. The record is from Rfam by way of RNAcentral. Lineage: Eukaryota; Metazoa; Chordata; Actinopteri; Osteoglossiformes; Osteoglossidae.
GCAUUGGUAGUUUGGUGGUAGAAUUCUUGCCUCUCAUGCAGGAGGCCUGGGUUCAAUUCAUGACUAAUGCA